UCUCAGUUCGGAUUGGAGUCUGCAACUCGACUCCAUGAAGCUGGAUUCGCUAGUAAUCGCGCAUCAGCCAUGGCGCGGUGAAUACGUUCCCGGGCCUUGUACACACCGCCCGUCAAGCCAUGGAAGCCGGGGGUGCCUGAAGUGCGUGACCGCAAGGAGCGCCCUAAGGUAAAACCGGUGACUGGGGCUAAGUCGUAACAAGGUAUC
This 207-nucleotide ribosomal RNA is filed under the name uncultured bacterium. Its description in RNAcentral is "partial 16S ribosomal RNA". It matches the Rfam family "Bacterial small subunit ribosomal RNA", at positions 1286 to 1500 of the family's 1533-position model. The record is from RNAcentral.